AUUUUGGACAAUGGGCGCAAGCCUGAUCCAGCCAUGCCGCGUGAGUGAAGAAGGCCUUCGGGUUGUAAAGCUCUUUCGGCGGGGACGAAAAGGUCCGUGUUAACACCACGGAUCCAUGACGGUACCCGCAGAAGAAGCACCGGCUAACUACGUGCCAGCAGCCGCGGUAAUACGUAGGGUGCAGGCGUUAAUCGGAAUUACUGGGCGUAAAGCGUGCGCAGGCGGUUUGUUAAGACAGAUGUGAAAUCCCCGGGCUUAACCUGGGAACUGCGUUUGUUACUGGCAAGCUUGAGUGCGGCAGAGGGGGGUGGAAUUCCACGUGUAGCAGUGAAAUGCGUAGAGAUGUGGAGGAACACCGAUGGCGAAGGCAGCCCCCUGGGUCGACACUGACGCUCAUGCACGAAAGCGUGGGGAGCAAACAGG
This 423-nucleotide ribosomal RNA is filed under the name uncultured bacterium. RNAcentral describes it as "bacterial SSU rRNA". It matches the Rfam family "Bacterial small subunit ribosomal RNA", at positions 361 to 776 of the family's 1533-position model. The record is from RNAcentral.